Molecule: long non-coding RNA, 560 nt
Organism: Chionomys nivalis (European snow vole)
Lineage: Eukaryota; Metazoa; Chordata; Mammalia; Rodentia; Cricetidae
Exons: 3
Source: RefSeq, a predicted model, not a curated record
CCCUGGGUUCCACACAAAAAACAAUAAUACUUCCUCUCUAGUUUCAAUUUCAGUUUUCUGAACUGAGACUCACUUCAAAAAAAAUAAUUUCUUAAGAGGCUUCAUCAGCUUCCAUGUGUGCCUGCUAGAGACAGAACCCACUAGCACAGACCUUCUUCAGAAGGGAGAAAUGGGAAGUUGCUGUCGACCAUGAUCCUUAUGUCCCAGAGGGAAGGAAACUAACAGCGCAGCUUUCAAUUUUCUGUGACCUAUGGUUUGCAGAUCCAGGGUGAUUCCAAGGAAAGGUGGAGAGGGGAAGUGCACUUGGAAGUUCAACUCCAACUCCGGCAAAUCUCCUGGCGUUUCUGAGACUUUGGGAAGCCCAGCGUUCAACAAGGAGUUUCAUGGGAGAGACAGGUAGGUUCAGCGAAAGAGUGAAAAAAGUCCAGUUUUGGCCAGCAUCCUAAAUUUCGAGAAGCAUAACCUGGAGAAGCUCAGAUCUUCUGAUUUAGAGCUCAGAAAAACCAGCCAGCUUCACCGACUGUUUGACUGCAGCUCCACAGGUGACCACAGAGUGGAGU